This is a small nuclear RNA of Tupaia belangeri (northern tree shrew), 106 nucleotides long. The record is from Ensembl. Lineage: Eukaryota; Metazoa; Chordata; Mammalia; Scandentia; Tupaiidae.
GUGCUUGAUUAUGCAGCACACAUACGAAAAUUGGAAUUAUAUGGAGAAGAUUAGCAUGGCCCUUGCACAAGGAAGACAUGCAAAUUCUGAAGCAUUCCAUAUUUAU